Molecule: long non-coding RNA, 858 nt
Organism: Benincasa hispida (wax gourd)
Lineage: Eukaryota; Viridiplantae; Streptophyta; Magnoliopsida; Cucurbitales; Cucurbitaceae
Source: RefSeq, a predicted model, not a curated record
UCUCUCAUUUGCGUUGGUUUGAACUAUCUUUGGUAAAGCUAUUACAAGAUCCGGUGGAUGUGUUCUUCUCCAAGAAAAUAUCGGGGUGACUUUAGAUUCAUUCAUUUGGCUAAGUUCAAAUUGUUCAAUGAAAGAUUUUUCGAAUGUAUUGUUCGGCCGCCUACUGGUGGAAGGAAAAAUCUACAUGUUCUGACCGGUUUCAUGAAGAAAGGCAUCAUAUUUAUGAGAAACAUGGAGAUGCCAAAUCAAUUGAGCUGAAGGAGAUUGGCCCACGGUUUGAAUUGCGACUGUACCAGUCUGCACGGAAAGAGUAUAGUUAUUGUUCUUAUUAGGCACAUCUUCAAGUUGGUUAUGAAUGAGCUGGAAGAAGGAAUAUUCCUCCAUAAAUUUGUUACAGAAGGUUGCAUGGGAUUGGCUAAUUGGUUGAGGUUUUUCACCUGAAUUCUUUUCUCCUUCAAGGGAUAUUUUUCAUGCGUAAAGUGGUCCCCAACUGAAGUGUUUCCCCUGAUGUUAUUAAAUGGUCGGUCGAGCAAGCAUUCAGGUGAGCAGCAAGUAAGCGAGUAAGUGAACGAGCGGCAAACAAGGAGCUAGUGAGGACCAAGUAUGAGUAUGCAACUUUGAAGCACGGGCUAUUUAAAUGUUUUCUUCUCGUUGUUGUGAGCUAUGGCUUUGUAUUUUCCUCAUCCAUACAGAAUUCCUCUCUAUUCUUGUUAUGAAGAUCAGUAAAGAAGUUUGAGAGACCUUUCAUAGUGGAUGUAAAUCUCAUCUUGAGAUUGAACCACUAUAAUUUUUGUGUUGUUUGUUCUUUCUACUCUUUCUCCUCUUCUUCUUCGAGUACUUCUGUUGUUACUACAGUGA